RNAcentral lists this ribosomal RNA (253 nucleotides) under uncultured bacterium. RNAcentral describes it as "partial 16S ribosomal RNA". It matches the Rfam family "Bacterial small subunit ribosomal RNA", at positions 524 to 776 of the family's 1533-position model. The record is from RNAcentral.
UACAGAGGUCUCAAGCGUUGUUCGGAUUCAUUGGGCGUAAAGGGUGCGUAGGUGGCGCCGUAAGUCAGGUGUGAAAUCUCGGAGCUUAACUCCGAAACUGCAUUCGAUACUGCUGUGCUUGAGGACUGGAGAGGAGACUGGAAUUUACGGUGUAGCGGUGAAAUGCGUAGAUAUCGUAAGGAAGACCAGUGGCGAAGGCGGGUCUCUGGACAGUUCCUGACGCUGAGGCACGAAGGUCAGGGGAGCAAACGGG